This 1041-nucleotide ribosomal RNA is filed under the name Triticum aestivum (bread wheat). RNAcentral describes it as "partial small subunit ribosomal RNA". Lineage: Eukaryota; Viridiplantae; Streptophyta; Magnoliopsida; Poales; Poaceae. The record is from RNAcentral.
AUGGAGCUGCUGUCCAACCGCCCGGCGCACGCCUCCGUGCCGGACAAGUACGUCUUCCCGCCGGAGAAGCGCGCCGCCCUGCUCGACGACGCGCCCGGCUCCGACGUCGCGCUCCCGGUCGUCGACCUCCAGCGCGCCGCCCUCUCCGAUCCCGGCCGCCGCCGCCUUGUCGCCGAGGAGAUCGUCAAGGCCGGCAAGGAGUUCGGCUUCUUCCAGGUGGUGAACCACGGCGUGUCGGAGGACGUGGUGCGGGGGUUCCGGGAGGCGUCGGCGGAGUUCUUCGCGAUGCCGGCGGAGGAAAAGCUGCCCUACUGCUCCGACGACCAGAGCAAGCCCUUCCGCGUCGCCUCCAGCACCUCCUACGACCGCAACCAGACGCGCUACUGGCGUGACUACCUCAAGCUGCGGUGCCACCCGGUCUCCGACGAGCUCGUCGGCCACUGGCCGGCCAAGCCGGAGAGCUUCCGGAGCUCCCUCGCCGAGUUCUCCGCACAGGUCCACGAGCUGGCGCAGACGCUGCUCCUGCUCAUCGCCGAGGGGCUGGGCCUCGACGGCGGCUUCUUCGCGGGCGACCUCAGCGGCGGGGACACGCAGAUGAACGUCAACUACUACCCGCCGUGCCCGGACCCGAGCGUCACGCUGGGCCUGCUCCCGCACUGCGACCGCCACCUCCUCACCGUGCUCUCCCAGGGCGACGUCGCCGGGCUCCAGGCCAGGUACCGCGGGCGGUGGAUCCUCGUCCGCCCGGUGCCCGGCGCCUUCAUCAUCAACUUCGGGCACCAGAUGGAGAUCGUCACCAACGGCGUGCUGGCGAGCGUGGAGCACCGCGCCCUCACCAACUCCGCCGUGGCCAGGAUGUCCGUGGCGACGCUCAUCAUGCCCAAGAUGGACUGCCUUAUCGGCCCGGCGCCGGAGAUGGUGAGCGAGGAGAACCCGGCCAAGUUCAGGGAGUUCGUGUUCAGGGAGUUCAUGGCGGCGUACGACACCGCCGCUGCUAGCAGGGAGGACGUGCUGGAGUACUUCAGGAUCGAAGAUCACUAG